RNAcentral lists this ribosomal RNA (252 nucleotides) under uncultured bacterium. RNAcentral describes it as "partial 16S ribosomal RNA". It matches the Rfam family "Bacterial small subunit ribosomal RNA", at positions 524 to 776 of the family's 1533-position model. The record is from RNAcentral.
UACGUAGGUGGCAAUCGUUGUCCGGAAUUAUUGGGCGUAAAGCGCGCGCAGGCGGUUAUGUAAGUCUGAUGUUAAAGCCCGGGGCUCAACCUCGGUUCGCAUUGGAAACUGCGUAACUUGAGUGCAGAAGAGGAAAGUGGUAUUCCACGUGUAGCGGUGAAAUGCGUAGAGAUGUGGAGGAACACCAGUGGCGAAGGCGACUUUCUGGUCUGUAACUGACGCUGAGGCGCGAAAGCGUGGGGAGAAAACAGG